This 254-nucleotide ribosomal RNA is filed under the name uncultured bacterium. RNAcentral's name for it is "partial 16S ribosomal RNA". It matches the Rfam family "Bacterial small subunit ribosomal RNA", at positions 524 to 776 of the family's 1533-position model. The record is from RNAcentral.
UACGUAGGGUGCAAGUGUUGUCCGGAAUUAUUGGGCGUAAAGAGCUCGUAGGCGGCUCGGUAAGUCAGGUGUGAAAACUCUAGGCUCAACCUAGAGACGCCACCUGAUACUGCUGUGGCUAGAGUCCGGUAGGGGAGCAUGGAAUUCCUGGUGUAGCGGUGAAAUGCGCAGAUAUCAGGAGGAACACCAGUGGCGAAGGCGGUGCUCUGGGCCGGAACUGACGCUGAGGAGCGAAAGCGUGGGGAGCAAACAGG